AUGACAUUUUUGUUUGAAGAGGAAGCUUAUUUAUUUUAUAACAAGUAUGCUGAAACUAUCGGUUUCACCAUCAGAAGAAGUAGUGGCCAUAAAGUGAAGAACUCUUCUGUAUUCCAACAACGCACAUUUACAUACUCUCGUCAAGGCCACCGAGAAGAAGAUAAAAGAGAGGACACAUUCAGUUACAGUAGGCCUGAAACACGAUGUGGUUGUAAUGCUCAUAUGAAGAUAAGCCUUAAAAGUGGUUUUUAUUAUGUGUAUGAAUUCGAGGCAUCACAUAACCACACUCUUGCUCAUGGAAUCAUGGCCCAGUACUUGAGAUCUCAGAAAAAAGUAAUAGAAGCACAUAUAGCAAAUGCUGAGGUUGCAAAGUCAGUAGGCAUUUCAAAUAAAGCAACAUUCAAUUUGAUGGCCAAGGAAGCAUGUGGAAGUGAAAACCUUGGCUUUAUACGUGAAGAUUUGAAAAAUUGUUUGUACUCAAAGAGAACAAUAAAAGCAAAGGAUGGUGACACAGGGGGAGUAUUAGAGUACAUGGAGAAGAAGGUCUCAGAAGAUGUCAAGUUCUUUUAUUCAUUUCAAGUUGAUGAAGAUGAGUUGAUAACUAAUUUUUUUUGGACUGACUCGAAAAUGGUAUCAGACUAUGCAUUAUUCGGCGAUGUUAUAUGCUUUGACACCACAUACAGGAAACUAGAUGAUGGACGCCCAUUUGGUUUGAUUGUUGGGGUGAAUAAUCAUCAAAAAACUGUUGUCUUUGGCGCCGCACUUCUCUAUGAUGAAACUGCUGCAAGUUUUGCUUGGCUUUCAGAACUUUCAUAA
Molecule: ribosomal RNA, 816 nt
Filed under: Triticum aestivum (bread wheat)
Lineage: Eukaryota; Viridiplantae; Streptophyta; Magnoliopsida; Poales; Poaceae
Description: partial small subunit ribosomal RNA
Source: RNAcentral